CAGCAUGUUCCCAAGGGCUGUGGCUCAUGUAGCCAUGGGCUCUCCAACUGCAUGCAAGAGCAACCUGGAGAGACUUUGACAGCUCAGGUUGCCUCCAUGUUUCCUGGCAGUGUCUGAUAAUGACGUAGCUGAUACGGGCUUGUUGCUGCCCUCUUAGAAUAAGAGCUUUUACCAGUAAACUGUCUUCAUUUGUAAUUCAGGAUCUACAGAGUUGGGAGAGCUCUACAGUAAGAGGCAAGCUAAAAGACAAGUUUGUGAAGGAGAUGGACUGUUCUACUUAAGUAACGAAAAUCUCAGCUUUUCCACGCUCCAAGGCCUGCUGGUUCUUGAAGUAGGCCUUUGCCCACCCCUCAUUGUGGGGCUGGUUCCUUAUCCAUCCUGCCCUGCAGCAUGAAUUGUCUUGUGUGCUACAUUCCCUUAAUAAAUUCUUGAUGUAAAAAA
This is a long non-coding RNA of Myotis brandtii (Brandt's bat), 441 nucleotides long. RefSeq lists it as uncharacterized. NCBI's taxonomy places the organism in Eukaryota, Metazoa, Chordata, Mammalia, Chiroptera, Vespertilionidae. The transcript has 2 exons. The record is from RefSeq and is a predicted model, not a curated record.